RNAcentral lists this ribosomal RNA (588 nucleotides) under Triticum aestivum (bread wheat). RNAcentral describes it as "partial small subunit ribosomal RNA". The record is from RNAcentral. Lineage: Eukaryota; Viridiplantae; Streptophyta; Magnoliopsida; Poales; Poaceae.
AUGCUCGGCCUCCCCAACGACCUCCUCGCCACCGUCGCCCGGGACGUCGCCGCCGCCGAGCACAACGUCUCCCACUACGUCUCCGACUACGGCGUCGACAUCCGGUACGUACACGUUCGUGGCCGUGGGCAACGAGCCGUUCCUCAAGUCGUACAAGGGCCAGUUCGAGGCGGCCACGCUCCCGGCGGUGCGCAACGUGCAGGCGGCGCUCGUCAAGGCCGGCCUGGCCCGCCAGGUGCGCGUCACCGUGCCCCUCAACGCCGACGUCUACGAGUCGCUCGACGGCCGCCCCUCCUCGGGGGACUUCCGCCCGGACAUCACCACCCUCACCACAACGUGCAGGCGGCGCUCGCCCAAGUACUUGUCGAGCGCCACUGGGGCGUCUUCAACUACGACGGCUCGCCCAAGUACGCGCUCCGCCUCGCCGGCGGCAAGGGCAUCGUGCCGGCCAAGGGCGUGAAGUACCUGUCCAAGCAGUGGUGCGUGCUCCGGCCCGACGCCAGCCCCACCGACCCGGCCAUCGUGGGCGCCGUCGGGUACGCGUGCCAGUACGCCGACUGCACCAGCCUCAUGCUGCGGCGGCCUUGA